Molecule: long non-coding RNA, 1193 nt
Filed under: Brassica napus (rape)
Lineage: Eukaryota; Viridiplantae; Streptophyta; Magnoliopsida; Brassicales; Brassicaceae
Description: long non-coding RNA (BNAP_LNC012505)
Source: RNAcentral
UUAAAUCAAUAUGCAAUUAAUGUGGGCUUUAUUAUGUUUUUGGGCUUAUGUUUGGAUGAAGAGACCCAGUUAACCCUAAUUUUAUUUUUUUACGCCUGUUCUCCGCCGUUGGAGUGAUUGGGUUGCUGAAGUCGGUGAUGAACUGUUCGUGGGGUUUCGAUCGCGUCUUCUGAUCUUUUUUUUCAUCAACCAAAAUGCUCAGUUACAGAUUCGUCUCAUUAAACCUCUUCUUAACUCCAUCAACCAUGAUCUGUCCUUGAAUGUGAGAUUCUCUUUUGCAUGUGGUUACAUGUACACCAUCACAUUGAACAUAUCAUUUAAAGAUCAGGUGUUCUGAACACACUAACGCUUUGUUGUCCUCUACAUUUAAAGAGCAGUUAUAUCUUUUUAUUAUAUAACUUUCUAGGUUUUGUUGUUUCACUCUCUCAUAUUUAGUCUCUUUUUCAAUGUGGGUGAAAUCAAAUGGUUCUGGGAACAACAAUACGAUCAGGACUUUUCUUACUCUGGUGUUCAAGUGCCUGAUGCAAUAGCUAAAAGAGAGUUUAUUCGCAUUUGAUUUAUCAUGUAUAUUACACGGCCCGCAUGGUCACUACAAUGUUUAAGAAAUCGCAAAAAAUAUCUACACCGUUAUUAGAAAUACUACAAAACGACAUCCACCGUGUCCAAGUACAAGCAAAAAAGAACCACCUCAGUCCAUAAGAGCUUUCUUACAAUUAGCCACUCCAACACUUUAACUUAUAAUAUAAACAUUAAUGUGCAAUAAUUAGUAUUCACAAGAAAAUAACAAAAAUAACUAACAACCCAAUUACUGUUUCAGCCAAGUAAAACAAAUAUUAAAAACAAUCAAACGUAGCCAUUAGCAUUUUUCGUAUAUUUAUUUUAUUAAGAAUAACAAAAAAUAAUUAAAUUUAAUGUUAUUUUAAUUGAUAAUAAAAUUAUAUUUUCAAAUUUUCAUUACAAUUUAAGAUAUUUUAUAAUUUUCAUUGCAAUAAAUUCACACUUUUAACUUUCUAACCAUAUAUAUAUAUUGACAAUACAUCAAAUGCUUUAUAAAUAAUCUCUAUUGCUAAUAAUACAUCAAAUGGUAUGGUUUUAUCAGUUACAGAUUCGUCUCAUUAAACCUCUUCUUAACUCCAUCAACCAUGAUCUGUCCUUGAAUGUGAGAUUCUCUUUUGUGAGGCGGUGUCACUGCC